Molecule: ribosomal RNA, 521 nt
Filed under: uncultured bacterium
Lineage: Bacteria
Description: bacterial SSU rRNA
Rfam family: Archaeal small subunit ribosomal RNA
Source: RNAcentral
AACCUCCGCAAUGUGAGAAAUCGCGACGGGGGGAUCCCAAGUGCCAUUCUUAACGGGAUGGCUUUUCAUUAGUGUAAAGAGCUUUUGGAAUAAGAGCUGGGCAAGACCGGUGCCAGCCGCCGCGGUAACACCGGCAGCUCUAGUGGUAACAAUUUUUAUUGGGCCUAAAGCGUCCGUAGCCGGUUUAAUAAGUCUCUGGUGAAAUCCUGUAGCUUAACUGUGGGAAUUGCUGGAGAUACUAUUAGACUUGAGACCGGGAGAGGUUAGAGGUACUCCCAGGGUAGAGGUGAAAUUCUGUAAUCCUGGGAGGACCGCCUGUUGCGAAGGCGUCUAACUGGAACGGUUCUGACGGUGAGGGACGAAAGUUAGGGGCGCGAACCGGAUUAGAUACCCGGGUAGUCCUAACUGUAAACGAUGCGGACUUGGUGUUGGGGUGGCUUUGAGCUGCUCCAGUGCCGAAGGGAAGCUGUUAAGUCCGCCGCCUGGGAAGUACGGUCGCAAGACUGAAACUUAAAAGGAAA